RNAcentral lists this ribosomal RNA (1041 nucleotides) under Bacillus sp. (in: firmicutes). Its description in RNAcentral is "bacterial SSU rRNA". It matches the Rfam family "Bacterial small subunit ribosomal RNA", at positions 52 to 1076 of the family's 1533-position model. The record is from RNAcentral. Lineage: Bacteria; Bacillati; Bacillota; Bacilli; Caryophanales; Bacillaceae.
UACAUGCAGUCGAGCGGACAGAAGGGAGCUUGCUCCCGGAUGUUAGCGGCGGACGGGUGAGUAACACGUGGGUAACCUGCCUGUAAGACUGGGAUAACUCCGGGAAACCGGAGCUAAUACCGGAUAGUUCCUUGAACCGCAUGGUUCAAGGAUGAAAGACGGUUUCGGCUGUCACUUACAGAUGGACCCGCGGCGCAUUAGCUAGUUGGUGGGGUAAUGGCUCACCAAGGCGACGAUGCGUAGCCGACCUGAGAGGGUGAUCGGCCACACUGGGACUGAGACACGGCCCAGACUCCUACGGGAGGCAGCAGUAGGGAAUCUUCCGCAAUGGACGAAAGUCUGACGGAGCAACGCCGCGUGAGUGAUGAAGGUUUUCGGAUCGUAAAGCUCUGUUGUUAGGGAAGAACAAGUGCGAGAGUAACUGCUCGCACCUUGACGGUACCUAACCAGAAAGCCACGGCUAACUACGUGCCAGCAGCCGCGGUAAUACGUAGGUGGCAAGCGUUGUCCGGAAUUAUUGGGCGUAAAGGGCUCGCAGGCGGUUUCUUAAGUCUGAUGUGAAAGCCCCCGGCUCAACCGGGGAGGGUCAUUGGAAACUGGGAAACUUGAGUGCAGAAGAGGAGAGUGGAAUUCCACGUGUAGCGGUGAAAUGCGUAGAGAUGUGGAGGAACACCAGUGGCGAAGGCGACUCUCUGGUCUGUAACUGACGCUGAGGAGCGAAAGCGUGGGGAGCGAACAGGAUUAGAUACCCUGGUAGUCCACGCCGUAAACGAUGAGUGCUAAGUGUUAGGGGGUUUCCGCCCCUUAGUGCUGCAGCUAACGCAUUAAGCACUCCGCCUGGGGAGUACGGUCGCAAGACUGAAACUCAAAGGAAUUGACGGGGGCCCGCACAAGCGGUGGAGCAUGUGGUUUAAUUCGAAGCAACGCGAAGAACCUUACCAGGUCUUGACAUCCUCUGACAACCCUAGAGAUAGGGCUUUCCCUUCGGGGACAGAGUGACAGGUGGUGCAUGGUUGUCGUCAGCUCGGGUCGUGAGAUGUU